UGGCUCAGUGGUAGAGUGCUUGCUUCAUAUGCAUGAGGUUUUAGGUUUGAUUCCUCA
This 57-nucleotide transfer RNA is filed under the name Dipodomys ordii (Ord's kangaroo rat). It matches the Rfam family "tRNA", at positions 8 to 63 of the family's 71-position model. Rfam says of the family: Transfer RNA (tRNA) molecules are approximately 80 nucleotides in length. Lineage: Eukaryota; Metazoa; Chordata; Mammalia; Rodentia; Heteromyidae. The record is from Rfam by way of RNAcentral.